Molecule: small RNA, 132 nt
Filed under: Escherichia coli
Lineage: Bacteria; Pseudomonadati; Pseudomonadota; Gammaproteobacteria; Enterobacterales; Enterobacteriaceae
Description: RtT sRNA
Rfam family: RtT RNA
About the family: This family represents a bacterial cis-regulatory element known as RtT RNA. The exact function of RtT is unknown although it is thought that it may be involved in changing the cellular response in relation to amino acid starvation.
Source: RNAcentral
AUUCUGCCCAUGCGGGGAAGGAUGAGAAGCUUCGACCAAGGUUCGGCUCGAGUGCCAGCGAGAGAGCGUUGCCGCAGGCAACGACCCGUAGGGCGAAGCGCGCAGCGCUGAGUAAUCCUUCCCCCACCACCA